This 254-nucleotide ribosomal RNA is filed under the name uncultured bacterium. Its description in RNAcentral is "partial 16S ribosomal RNA". It matches the Rfam family "Bacterial small subunit ribosomal RNA", at positions 524 to 776 of the family's 1533-position model. The record is from RNAcentral.
UACGAGGGGGGCAAAUGUUGUUCGGAAUCACUGGGCGUAAAGGGAGCGUAGGCGGCGUUUUUAAGUCGGGGGUGAAAGCCUGUGGCUCAACCACAGAAUGGCCUCCGAUACUGGGACGCUUGAGUAUGGUAGAGGUUGGUGGAACUGCGAGUGUAGAGGUGAAAUUCGUAGAUAUUCGCAAGAACACCGGUGGCGAAGGCGGCCAACUGGACCAUUACUGACGCUGAGGCGCGAAAGCGUGGGGAGCAAACAGG